RNAcentral lists this ribosomal RNA (497 nucleotides) under uncultured bacterium. Its description in RNAcentral is "partial 16S ribosomal RNA". It matches the Rfam family "Bacterial small subunit ribosomal RNA", at positions 28 to 507 of the family's 1533-position model. The record is from RNAcentral.
GAUGAACGCUGGCGGCGUGCCUAAUACAUGCAAGUCGAGCGAACGGACGAGAAGCUUGCUUCUCUGAUGUUAGCGGCGGACGGGUGAGUAACACGUGGAUAACCUACCUAUAAGACUGGGAUAACUUCGGGAAACCGGAUCUAAUACCGGAUGAUAUUUUGAACCGCAUGGUUCAAAAGUGAAAGACGGUCUUGCUGUCACUUAUAGAUGGAUCCGCGCUGCAUUAGCUAGUUGGUAAGGUAACGGCUUACCAAGGCAACGAUGCAUAGCCGACCUGAGAGGGUGAUCGGCCACACUGGAACUGAGACACGGUCCAGACUCCUACGGGAGGCAGCAGUAGGGAAUCUUCCGCAAUGGGCGAAAGCCUGACGGAGCAACGCCGCGUGAGUGAUGAAGGUCUUCGGAUCGUAAAACUCUGUUAUUAGGGAAGAACAUAUGUGUAAGUAACUGUGCACAUCUUGACGGUACCUAAUCAGAAAGCCACGGCUAGCUACGUG